CGCCGAGUAGAUCAAGGAUUCUCUGACUGUGACUUGAGGUGAGUGGAUAUCAUUCUGUUCACAAUAUCCAGAGACUCUUGCAAAGGUUUCUUGCUUCUUGAGGAAUCCUGAAAUUCUAAUAUCACCUUCAAUAUAUCCGCCUGUUUUUCUUCCUGCCAAAACGUCCAUCAAUGUAGUCUUUCCAGCUCCACUGACUCCCAUUAGUGCUGUCAGGACUCCAGGCCUAAAUGCACCUGUUACUUCCCGAAGAAGUUGAAGCCUGUCCUCCGGAACUCCUUGCUGCUUCAUUUCAGCAGGCAUGUCCACGUAGUAGUUCACGCUGUUAAAGGACAUGGCUAGGGGAGUGAAAGGAAGAACCAUUCCUCUCUUAGGAGCUACACCAUUCGCUGCCUCAAGAGAUGAAUCAGCAUUUCUACCGAGUCCAUUGGGAUUGGAUCGGCUGCUCAUCCUCCGAAUUUCCAUUUCCCUUGUAUUAUUUCCAUCAGCAGAAGAUAACGAAUGAGGGUUUGACUUUGACAUUCUUAGUCUUGGUUGACCCUUCGAGUCUUCCUCACGCUCCAUUUCCUUUGCUGAUUCCUCAGAGAUUAUUGCUUGUUUCUUUCCAGGAGGGGCCAAGUACAUGAGAGCAAAGGUGAAGAGGACGUUGAAAAGAACUGCAAAUCCUAGAAGAGCACCGGCACCAAUCCAAUACCAGUUCUUGUUGCGGAAAACAUCAAAGCUUUCGAGCACUGCCUCACCUAAUCUUGUAUUGUCUGAAACCAGUUUGUUCAUCCACCUUGGAGCAUAAAAUUCAUUCACAGUAUAGGCAUUAUAACCAUAAGACAGAGGUGAAGCCCAAUAAGCCCACUCCCACCAGUUUGGAAUUUGACCUUUAGGUAUGAUGAAGCCUCCAAGUAAGAAAAUAAGGAGGAGAAUGAGCACCCCACCAGUGUUGGCAAUGAUCAUAGUCCUGCAAACUCCGGCGAUGAGUCUAAAAAGCCCAGCAGCCAUUUGUUGGGUCAGAAAUACCAGUAGAAGAUGCUUGAAAAACCUGCUAGCUUCAGGAGCAAAUCCUAUGGAGUAAUAGGUAAUGCACACCCAAACGAUAGACUCUAUUAUGGACAUGGGCAAUGUAAGCAGGAAAGUUGGGAGAGUGAAUGUCCAAGGUGGGUGGAAGAGAAGGUCCCUUUGCUUGUAAAACACUGGAAGCCUUGAGAUCAUGAGAGUGAGCUCAGCAAAAC
This 1220-nucleotide unclassified non-coding RNA is filed under the name Hevea brasiliensis (rubber tree). The record is from RNAcentral. Lineage: Eukaryota; Viridiplantae; Streptophyta; Magnoliopsida; Malpighiales; Euphorbiaceae.